UGUUAUCUUUAACCAUUUUUGUGAGUAAAAUAUCAAGGGAAGAGGUUGCUCGGAUUUGUGUUGCUGCUAUGGAAAGCCUGUAUGCAUAGCACAAGACAUUUGAGGUUAAAAGUGUGAUUCCAUUUAGUGAACCAUUUACAGUGGACCCUGAAAACCCACCUCCAGAGAAGGAUUACAAUGAAUAUUUUAAAACUUUGAAGGAUGGUGUUACAGGAAAAGAAUACCUAGAACGUAGUGCUGUUCCAGUGUAGUGCCCACGGAUGACAGAUCAUACCCCUACAAUUACAAAAUAAUGAAGCAGACUUGUAGAGGAUUCAUUAGGCAGCCAAGCAAGAAAAGAGAAACUUGAAGCAGUUAGUGACUGAUGUUGGAGUGUAGAAAAUAUAUUGUCUUCAACGACUAAUGAAAAAAAUGAACUCAACUUUUGUAUAUUUUAAGCUGUGUAUAUACCAAAUUU
RNAcentral lists this unclassified non-coding RNA (457 nucleotides) under Hevea brasiliensis (rubber tree). Lineage: Eukaryota; Viridiplantae; Streptophyta; Magnoliopsida; Malpighiales; Euphorbiaceae. The record is from RNAcentral.